ACUGCCCAAAAUUUGAUUUCAGGCUAGAAUACCCCCUUAACUUGAAUUUUAAGCUCAAUUCAACUUUUGUUUUUGUAAUAAUUUUAAUUUUACUUUUAAUUACGUCUUUGGUGAUGGCUUAGACCUACUCACACUCACCUUAACUCCACAAGCGCCUCCCAGUGUGCAAUUAGUGCCGGCAAAAUGUACUAUUGCGCAGCGAUCGGUACCAGCUAUGUUGUGCGUUGCUUUAUAGUUCUUGCGCUGUUGGUCCACCAGAAUGCACCAAGUGGAGCGAUUACGUAUAUAAAGCUGUACCUUUUCAGAAGCGUUUCCCGGCGCUUGACUCUAUGAAUGAGACUCGACAGUGUCAAAAACAUAUCUGGGUCAUGUUUUCAGUCAGUUCAAACAAUGUUGCGAACAAGUAAUGUUUUUUCUUCGAAGAGAAGUAAUGGUUUUGAGUAAUGGUAAUAAUGAUGAUAUAUGUAUGUAUGUAAAUGAAUAGUGAAAUGUAAUGUUAAAGUAAUGA
Molecule: unclassified non-coding RNA, 508 nt
Filed under: Bactrocera tryoni
Lineage: Eukaryota; Metazoa; Arthropoda; Insecta; Diptera; Tephritidae
Description: uncharacterized LOC120775532, transcript variant X2
Source: RNAcentral